This 62-nucleotide transfer RNA is filed under the name Fukomys damarensis (Damara mole-rat). It matches the Rfam family "tRNA". From Rfam's summary of the family: Transfer RNA (tRNA) molecules are approximately 80 nucleotides in length. Their secondary structure includes four short double-helical elements and three loops (D, anti-codon, and T loops). The record is from Rfam by way of RNAcentral. Lineage: Eukaryota; Metazoa; Chordata; Mammalia; Rodentia; Bathyergidae.
GGGGAUUUAGCUCAGUGGCACAGCACCUGUCUGGCAAGCAAGGGUCCUGAGUUUAAUCCCCA